This 471-nucleotide ribosomal RNA is filed under the name uncultured bacterium. RNAcentral describes it as "bacterial SSU rRNA". It matches the Rfam family "Bacterial small subunit ribosomal RNA", at positions 335 to 799 of the family's 1533-position model. The record is from RNAcentral.
ACUCCUACGGGAGGCAGCAGUGGGGAAUAUUGCACAAUGGGCGCAAGCCUGAUGCAGCCAUGCCGCGUGUAUGAAGAAGGCCUCGGUUGUAAAGUACUUCUAGCAGUGAGGAAGGCGGAGUCGUUAAUAGCGGCCUCGCUUGACGUUAGCUGCAGAAGAAGCACCGGCUAACUCCGUGCCAGCAGCCGCGGUAAUACGGAGGGGUGCGAGCGUUAAUCGGAAUUACUGGGCGUAAAGCGCAUGCAGGUGGUUUGUUAAGUCAGAUGUGAAAGCCCGGGGCUCAACCUCGGAAUUGCAUUUGAAACUGGCAAACUAGAGUACUGUAGAGGGGGUAGAAUUUCAGGUGUAGCGGUGAAAUGCGUAGAGAUCUGAAGGAAUACCGGUGGCGAAGGCGGCCCCUGGACAGAUACUGACACUCAGAUGCGAAAGCGUGGGGAGCGAAACAGGAUUAGAUACCCUGGUAGGAUAGCG